CCUAUCUUUCAUAGUACAAGGGCAAAUCUGACCCUAAACCGUUUCUAGAAAGAGGGGGAGGAAGAGGGGAGAGAGAGACCCCAUUUUUUUGGAAGUCCUUCCCUCCUAAUUAUCAAGGGGGAUAUUCAUAGAAAAUUCUAAAAAAAGUAUAAUUUACAGGAAAAUAUUUGGUAGAAUAUUCCUUUUGAGUUUUCCAAAGCAAACCAGAUGUUUCAUGGUCUGUACGUCCACGAUCAUUGAUGACGGUCCGACCUUGACGUGUACGUCCACGACCGUUGAUGACGGUCCGACCUUGACGUAUACCUCCACGACCGUUGAUGAUGGUCCGACCUUGACGUGUACUAAAAUAUUGUAUAUGUUUGAAGAAAAUGCACUUUGCUAGAUGAAGCCAAGAAAAGCUAAAAGCAAUAAUGUAAUGCUUCUUUCACUGUAAUUUCAUAAAUUUUACAAUAAAAAAUAUUAUUAAAAAACAUCAAAUCUUUAUGCGUAUGAAUUUCUAUACUUGAACGUGUUUUGGUGCAAAAGUGACUGCAUAAUUGUGCAAAUUGUUAGGUAAAAAGCUAUGACGUAAAAUAAAAUAAUAUAAAGAAAGAUUAAAGAAAGUGCAAGUUGCUUUGCCCAUUAUCCUAAGUCAAUAAUUAACCUAUAAAUGCUAUGAGCUAUCUCUCUAUGUUAGAUUGGUCUACUAACUAUUAAUUUUAUUCUUGGAUCAAUAAUUUAUUUAAUAUAAAUAUUUAAACUUAGAAAAUAUUUACGAAACAUUUAUCAAUUAGCAAGAGAGAGAGAAAGAGAAGUGAUUGACAAAAGUUAAAUACUGACGCCACGACAACAAAUAACAAAUUUAAAAAUCAGCCUAAACUCCUCUUUGUGUACAUUUGAAAGUUUUGAAUUAGUACUAAUACUCACGUGGUCCAAAAAAAUGAAAACAUGGUAAUGAUUCGUACUUCUUCAAUUAUGCAAAGUUGAAAAGAAGACAAUAUUAUAAAGCUAAAAGGAAUUUAAAAAUUAAUAUUAUAACUAGUAAGAAUAAUUAAAUGACUAUUCUUUAAGAAUAGGAAUUUAAUUAAAUAACUAUUCCUAAAUAGUAGAAAAUUAAUUACAUGACUAUUCCUAAAUAGUAGGAAAUUAAUUAAAUUACAAUCUUGUCUAGGGAGCACUGGAAAAUUAAUCAAAAGAAAGGUAGGACAAAAUUGAGUAUCAAUAGCUGUCACUUUUAAUCGAAAAUAAUGAAAGAAUUUUCGGGCAAAAAAAUUAAUGAUGUAGCCAAUUUUGUCCCGACCAUUAAGGUUGAAAAUGGGGUAAAAGGGAGAUAAAUACAUGAUUGCGGCUGAACUCCCAUUUUGAGUUACCUACAUAUAUCGAUUUUCAUGAGAAUCAGGCCAUGUUUAGUCCAAGAGUUAAUAAUAGGAUUAUGGAUUUUGUAAUAAUUCACGGGGAUGUUUGAUAGUGAAAUUGUGUGUGUAGCCUCCUAAUUCUAAAAUGUGGUUGACAACAUAUAGACACGAUUUUGGGACACCCUACGACCGAAUGAACUCAAUUAUUUUCAAAAUCUGCCCCAGUGUCGAGUUAUGACGACACUGGGUUAUGGAGAGUUGUGAGAUUAUGAAAACGAUUUAUUGAGAAAAAUAUAGGGGUGACUACGACGAAAAAUUUAGAAUUAUUUGGAUUACCUACAUAUCCUGCAUUUUUGGAUGUAGGCAGAGUGGAGUUCGAGAGUAGCUCCUCGACCUUUGCUUCUGAGUUUUAGAUUCCUCUUUAGCAAAUUUUCCCCAGUUUACUGCUAAGGGAUAAUUCCACGUUGUGUUGUGCAUCUCGUG
RNAcentral lists this long non-coding RNA (1817 nucleotides) under Nicotiana benthamiana. RNAcentral describes it as "long non-coding RNA (NBEN_LNC012199)". Lineage: Eukaryota; Viridiplantae; Streptophyta; Magnoliopsida; Solanales; Solanaceae. The record is from RNAcentral.